Molecule: ribosomal RNA, 253 nt
Filed under: uncultured bacterium
Lineage: Bacteria
Description: partial 16S ribosomal RNA
Rfam family: Bacterial small subunit ribosomal RNA
Source: RNAcentral
GACGAAGGGGGCUAGCGUUGUUCGGAAUUACUGGGCGUAAAGGGCGUGUAGGCGGUUUGUUAAGUUUGGCGUGAAAGCUCUCGGCUAAACCGGGAGAGGUCGUUGGAUACUGGCAAACUAGAGGACGGUAGAGGCGUGUGGAAUUCCGGGUGUAGUGGUGAAAUGCGUAGAGAUCCGGAGGAACACCAGUGGCGAAGGCGACACGCUGGGCCGUACCUGACGCUAAAGCGCGACAGCAUGGGGAGCAAACGGG